AUGGGUGGAAAUUCUACCCAAGAGUGCUCCAAUGAUGAAUUGGCUUUCUUCUCCAAGCAUGUGGGAGGGUUGUUGUUCCGUGUCAACACUCUCCUAGUGGCGAACACUAUUUUGAUGGGAGUCAUAGCUGGGAUAGGCUCCUACGGGCGUCGCUAUCGCCACCAUCCUUUGAUCCGUUUUCUCUACCUAGGAGCCACCACCAUGUUCCUGCCCAUCCUCUCCUAUCUCGUAUCCACCUUAGAAAAUCCUUACACAUUCACCAUAUACACAGAACGAGACCGAGUCGCAACAGCAACUUGUACAGCGGACAACCACGUAGGCAUGGUCAUGUUGUGGAUUGGUCUUGUUCAAAACAUCGGUACCAACGCCACGGCAAUAGUGGCCGGUGAUUCUAGAGAAGGACGAAGCAUUGCACCCCCUGCAGUGCAGCUUGUUCAAGCAAUGUGGACAUCCUACCUUGCCUACAUCAUUUUGGAAUCAGCUGGAGCUCCUUCUGGAUAUGUCAAAUGGUCACGAGAUACUAUGCUACAUCCGGUGAUAUAUCUCUUAUUUGGACUGCCAUAUGUUUUUAUCUUGGCCAAAUUGCUUUUCAAGUACUAUGCAUGGUACAAGGCCACACGAUCAUUAGCGCUUGGACGGAAUCCACGUGUCAUUGUUGGAUACAUGGAGCGGCUACAAUAUGGAGCCCGUCAUUCUGAGCUAGUAAAUCAGCAUGUACCUCCUCCACUUAUACUCAUGGGAGAGGGCACUGUUUCGGUAGAAAAACGACCCCAUGGUUACAGCUUGACAGGGAUGAACAAUGGUGGCUUAGUGACCAUCGACCGAGUUUGGCAGUUGGAUGACACGGUGCUUCCCAAGCCAACAGAGCAGCACAAGGAUUUGUGCCUUUCAUUCGCAUUGUUCAAGCUGUUGCGGUGUCGGUUUGCAAGAUACACCGCAGGUGAAGCUGGUUUUAUGAAAGUCAGCAACUUUAUACGGCUUAUGUUGCUUGAAGAUAGUGAUGAUGGAAGGGUAUUUGGGUUGAUUGCACAUGAACUUUCAUUUCUUCAUGAUUACUAUUAUACGUCCCUCCCAGUCUCAUAUUCAAUUGGCUGGCUACCCAUGUUGAGCGCAUCCAUUUCGCUCUCAAGCAUCGGCCAUUGCUUAUUUUUCAUCUUCUAUUUGGCAAGUAGCACUCGUGCAAUGCUGGAUCAAGGGCAUGUUUCUGGGCAGAUUUAUUGUCCUCAUGUGCACUGCAAUCGUGAAUAUGAUCAACCAGAUCCGACUCAGAGUGGAAAUCGGGUUCAUUUUGGAACAUUGUCGUUUGAUCUCCUGGAACUGUAUAUACUUGUUAUGCUAGUUUUGCUCGUUGAAGCGAGGGAGAUCGCUUCUUACAUCUGCUCCAGUUGGGCCAAAGUGGCCCUGAUCUGCGGCUACACAAGGCAUACUUCUUGGCAGAAAUCUCCGACCAUUCGUAAAUGUGUUGGCUAUGUGCUACGCACCAGAUGCAACCUCAUCGAGCACUGGGUCGACGAGAUGAACCAAUGCUCCGUACUGCUGCUCCACCAAAGGAGAAAGCCAGUGGCUCUUCUUCGGCGUCUCCUUCAUCGGCCCGACGAGAAGAAGAAGGUGCCGAAAGCAGUGAAGACUGCCGUCGUGGGUGCGGUGAGAAGGUUCGAUCAAAGAAUAAUCAGGUGCCGAAGGAACAGUGUGACGCCUCUGCAAGUACGAGUGGGCAACCACGAGCUUCUUUGGACAUUCCAGGUAGCCAAGGGAGUUGCUGAUGCCAUGCUCGUGUGUCACGUCGCCACAAGUAUCCUUGAAGUGAGAUCACGACGGCCAAACCGGCCUCUCUCCAACCCUGAGGUAGUCGCCAAUCAUAUAUCGCGAUAUUGCGCCUACCUGGUGGCCUACUGUCCCGAGCUACUCCCCGACGACGCGGCGUGGUGCAGGAGCCUGUACAAGGCCGUCAAGAAGGAUGCCGCGCGCGUCCUCAAGGGCGCCAGCCAUCGGGUGUCGACGGCGACGCCCGAAGCAGAGGAUCAGCACCUAGUCAAGCUGCUGAGGCAGCGGUCGAAGCACCAAGUGCUCAAGGAUGGUGCGGAGCUCGGGCGGCGGCUGGCGGAGCUGCCGGCAGGAGAAGAGGUGGCAUGGAAGACCCUCGCGGAAUUCUGGUCGGACACACUCGUCUACGUCGCCGCUGCUUGCGACAACAUCGACGACCACGCAGAGGCCGUCGCCCGGGGCGGGGAGCUGGUGACGCUCCUCUGGGCCCUGCUCGCCCAUGUCGGGAGCGUCGACGACGACACCGCCGAUGCCGCUGCAACUCAUGGUGCUCCCGAUGCUGUUUAA
Molecule: ribosomal RNA, 2331 nt
Filed under: Triticum aestivum (bread wheat)
Lineage: Eukaryota; Viridiplantae; Streptophyta; Magnoliopsida; Poales; Poaceae
Description: partial small subunit ribosomal RNA
Source: RNAcentral